CCUACGGGAGGCAGCAGUGGGGGAUAUUGGACAAUGGGGGAAACCCUGAUCCAGCGACGCCGCGUGAGUGAAGAAGUAUUUCGGUAUGUAAAGCUCUAUCAGCAGGGAAGAAAGAAAUGACGGUACCUGCGUAAGAAGCCCCGGCUAACUACGUGCCAGCAGCCGCGGUAAUACGUCGGGGGCAAGCGUUAUCCGGAAUGGCUGGGUGUAAAGGGAGCGUAGACGGGAAUGCAAGGCUGGAGGGAAAGGCGGGGGCCCAACCCCCGGACCGGUGUGGAAACUGUGUAACUGGAGUGCAGGAGAGGUAUGCGGAAUUCCUAGUGUAGCGGUGAAAUGCGUAGAUAUUAGGAGGAACACCAGUGGCGAAGGCGGCCUGCUGGACUGUAACUGACGUUGAGGCUCGAAAGCGUGGGGAGCAAACAGGAUUAGAUACCCGGGUAGUC
Molecule: ribosomal RNA, 443 nt
Filed under: uncultured bacterium
Lineage: Bacteria
Description: partial 16S ribosomal RNA
Rfam family: Bacterial small subunit ribosomal RNA
Source: RNAcentral